GCUUUUGAUGAAUUCAACCUGAAUGCGCCUAAUUUCGUAAGACCUCAGAAGCUAAGUGACGUGGAGUCUGGUUAGUACUUGGAUGUGAGAGACCGCCAGGGAAUACAAGAUGUUGUAGACU
This 121-nucleotide ribosomal RNA is filed under the name Petromyzon marinus (sea lamprey). Lineage: Eukaryota; Metazoa; Chordata; Hyperoartia; Petromyzontiformes; Petromyzontidae. The record is from RNAcentral.